This 512-nucleotide ribosomal RNA is filed under the name Caridina sp. 11 VDM-2020. RNAcentral's name for it is "partial large subunit ribosomal RNA". It matches the Rfam family "Bacterial large subunit ribosomal RNA", at positions 1820 to 2594 of the family's 2925-position model. Lineage: Eukaryota; Metazoa; Arthropoda; Malacostraca; Decapoda; Atyidae. The record is from RNAcentral.
UCUGUGCGGUAACUUAGAUGCACAGUCUGACCUGCCCACUGAAUAAUUUGAAGGGCCGCGGUAUCUGAACCGUGCUAAGGUAGCAUAAUAAAUAGUCUUUUAAUUGAGGUCUAGUAUGAAUGGUUGGACAUGAAGUAAUCUGUUUUAAUUGUAAGAUUUGAAUUUUACUUUUAAGUGAAAAGGCUUAAAUUAUAUGGUGGGACGAUAAGACCCUAUAAAGCUUUACAUUUUAUUUGUUGGUUGGAGAAUUUAAGGUUUUCUAUUCCUGUUGAGUUAAAGUGUUUCAUUGGGGCGAUGAGAAUAUAAAUUAGUAACUGUUUUAUUUUAAAAAUAGAUUUUUUUAGUAAAGUUGAUCCUUUUUAAAGAUUACAAGAAUAAAGUUACUUUAGGGAUAACAGCGUAAUUUUUCUUGAGAGUUCAUAUCGACAGAAAUAGUUGCGACCUCGAUGUUGAAUUAAGAUUCCCCCAAGGUGUAGCAGUUUUGGGUGGUAGGUCUGUUCGACCUUUAAAAU